RNAcentral lists this ribosomal RNA (482 nucleotides) under uncultured bacterium. RNAcentral's name for it is "partial 16S ribosomal RNA". It matches the Rfam family "Bacterial small subunit ribosomal RNA", at positions 28 to 507 of the family's 1533-position model. The record is from RNAcentral.
GACGAACGCUGGCGGCGUGCUUAACACAUGCCAGUCGAACGAUGAAGAAGAGAAACGCGAACUUCGGUUCAAAUUUCACUUCGGAUUAGUGGCAGACGGGUGAGUAACGCGUGAGCAACCUACCUCUUACAAAGGGAUAGCCUCGGGAAACCGUGAUUAAUACCAUAUGACACAUUCAUAAGGCAUCUUAAGAAUGUUAAAGCUACGGCGGUAAGAGAUGGGCUCGCGUCCCAUUAGCUAGUUGGUGAGGUAACGGCCCACCAAGGCGACGAUGGGUAACCGGCCUGAGAGGGUGAACGGUCACAUUGGAACUGAGACACGGUCCAAACUCCUACGGGAGGCAGCAGUGGGGAAUAUUGCACAAUGGAGGGAACUCUGAUGCAGCGACGCCGCGUGAGUGAUGAAGGAAUUCGUUUCGUAAAGCUCUGUUCUAUGGGAAGAAAAGGACUGUACCAUAGGAGAAAGCCCCGGCUAAAUACGUG